This 833-nucleotide ribosomal RNA is filed under the name Caloplaca emilii. RNAcentral describes it as "SSU rRNA". It matches the Rfam family "Bacterial small subunit ribosomal RNA", at positions 397 to 1302 of the family's 1533-position model. Lineage: Eukaryota; Fungi; Ascomycota; Lecanoromycetes; Teloschistales; Teloschistaceae. The record is from RNAcentral.
CUGCUAGUUGCACUAAAAAUUUUAGUGUAAAAUCAACUUAGUUGAAUAAAAUUCUGGGUAAGGUUAUGAUAAUGACAUUACUUAUCCAUAAGUCUUGACCAAAUUACGUGCCAGCAGUCGCGGUAAUACGUAGAAGACAAGUGUUAUUCAUCUUUAAUAGGUUUAAAGGGUACUUAGACGGUAAAUCAAGCCUUAAUCGGGACAGAUUUGCUAGAGUUUUAUGUGAGAAAGUAUUAAAGUACUGCUGGUGUAGAGAUGAAAUUCUGUCAUACCUAAGAUGGCACAGGUAAUGGCGAAAGCAUCUUUUUAUGUAAAAACUGACGUUGAAGGACGAAGGCUUUGUGUCUCGAACAGGAUUAGAUACCCUAGUAGUCUAAGCAGACAAUGAUGAAUGUCAUAGAUUAGAUUUAAUUUAAUUUGAUCUAUAAAUGAAAGUGUAAGCAUUCCACCUCAAGAGUAAUUUGGCAACAUUGGAACUGAAAUCAUUAGACCGUUUCUGAAACCAGUAGUGAAGUAUGUUGUUUAAUUUGAUAAUCCGCAAAAAACCUUACCACAAUUUGAAUAGAUAUUUUUUAUCAUACAAGCGUUGCACGGCUGUCUUCAGUUAAUGUCGUGAGACUUUGGUUAGUUCCAUAAAAUUAACGUAAACCCUUACUUUUUUUUUAAAAAAAGUAGUUCACCGCUAGAUUGGAUGUGAUAACAGGGAUCAAGACAAGUCAUCAUGACCUAACAUAGAUAUUGUGGGCUAUAGACGUGCCACAUAUGCCUUACAAAGAGAUGCUAAAUUGUGAAAUUAAGCUAAUCUCCUAAAAUUGGAUAUAAAUUUAAUGGAU